CUCUGGUCUAAGCCUCCAUGGGCCGGUGGGGAGAUCAAAGUUCUACCUCACCGGUCCACAGCAGCAUUGAGGGAGGCAGCAGAGAACCCGGGCUAGAGUUCACUCUCCACUGAACCACCAGGGAAGGCAGCAGGACUGGGAUAUUAACUAAUCUGCCCCACCUCCACCCAAACAUACAGCACACACACACACACAGCACCUACACACAGCACACACAGCCCACAAACAGCACCCACACACAUACAUCACCCUCGCACACACAGCACCCACACACAUACAACACCCAGCACACUAACAGCAUCCUCACAAACACACAAAAC
Pelobates cultripes (western spadefoot toad) is the source of this 320-nucleotide non-coding RNA. The record is from the annotation of a GenBank genome assembly. Lineage: Eukaryota; Metazoa; Chordata; Amphibia; Anura; Pelobatidae.